GAUGAACGCUGGCGGCGUGCCUAACACAUGCAAGUCGAGCGACCGGACGAUAAGCUCGCUCCCUUGCUGUUAGCGGCGGACGGGCGAGUAACACGUGCAUAACCUACUUAUAUUACUUGGGUAAUUUCGGGAAACCGGAUCUAAUACCGGAGAAUAUUUUCAACGGCAUAGAUCAGAAGUGCAUGGCAGUUUGGCUGACACUUUUAGCUGGAUCCGCGCUGCAUUAGCUAGUUGGUAAGGUAACGGCUCACCAAGGCUACGAUGCGUAGCUGACCUGAGAGGGUGAUCGGCCACACUGGAACUGAGACACGGUCCAGACUCCUACGGGAGGCAGCAGUAGGGAAUCUUCCACAAAGGGCGAAAGCCUGACCCAGCCACGCCGCGUGAGUGAUGAAGGUCUUCGGAUCGUAAAGCUCUGUUAUUAGGAAAGAACAGAUGUGUAAGUAACUGCGCACAUCUUGACGGUACCUAAUCAGAAAGCCCCGGCUAACUACGUG
RNAcentral lists this ribosomal RNA (497 nucleotides) under uncultured bacterium. Its description in RNAcentral is "partial 16S ribosomal RNA". It matches the Rfam family "Bacterial small subunit ribosomal RNA", at positions 28 to 507 of the family's 1533-position model. The record is from RNAcentral.